AAAAUCCGUUUAGACAAUGCUAGGAUGUGAUGGGGAAGCCCUUCGGGGCGAAGUAGCUGAUUUCACACUGUCAAGAAAAGCUUCUAUCGAGUUUAAAGGCGCCCGUACCGUAAACCGACACAGGUGGGUGAGGAGAGUAUCCUAAGGCCAGCGAGAGAACUAUUGUUAAGGAACUCGGCAAAAUGACCCCGUAACUUAGGGAGAAGGGGUGCCUGUCUAUGACAGGCCGCAGAGAAUAGGCCCAAGCGACUGUUUACCAAAAACACAGGUUUCUGCUAAGUCGCAAGACGAUGUAUAGAAGCUGACGCCUGCCCGGUGCUGGAAGGUUAAGGGGAUCUGUUAGAGCAAUCGAAGCAGUGAACUUAAGCCCCAGUAAACGGCGGCCGUAACAAUAACGGUCCUAAGGUAGCGAAAUUCCUUGUCGGGUAAGUUCCGACCCGCACGAAAGGCGUAACGAUUUGGGCACUGUCUCAACAAUAGACUCGGUGAAAUUGUAAUCCCGGUGAAGAUGCCGGGUACCUGCGACAGGACGGAAAGACCCCAUGGAGCUUUACUGUAGCUUGACGUUGGGUCUUGAUACUACAUGUACAGGAUAGGUGGGAGACUAUGAAGCAUGGACGCCAGUCUGUGUGGAGUCAUCCUUGGGAUACCACCCUUGUAGCACUGGGAUCCUAACCAUAGGCCUUGAAUCAGGUCUUGGAACACCGUCAGGUGGGCAGUUUGACUGGGGCGGUCGCCUCCUAAAAAGUAACGGAGGCGCUCAAAGGUUUCCUCAGCACGGUCGAAAAUCGUGCGAAGAGUGUAAAGGCAAAAGGAAGCUUGAUUGCAAGACAUACAGGUCGAGCAAGGACGAAAGUCGGACUUAGUGAUCCGGUGGUACCGCAUGGAAGGGCCAUCGCUCAACGGAUAAAAGCUACCCUGGGGAUAACAGGCUUAUCUCCCCCAAGAGUCCACAUCGACGGGGAGGUUUGGCACCUCGAUGUCGGCUCAUCACAUCCUGGGGCUGUAGUAGGUCCCAAGGGUUGGGCUGUUCGCCCAUUAAAGUGGUACGCGAGCUGGGUUCAGAACGUCGUGAGACAGUUCGGUCCCUAUCCGUCGCAGGCGUAGGAAAUUUGAGAAGACCUGUCCUUAGUACGAGAGGACCGGGAUGGACGUACCUCUGGUGUACCAGUUGUUCUGCCAAGGGCAUGGCUGGGUAGCUAUGUACGGAAUGGAUAAGCGCUGAAAGCAUCUAAGCGCGAAGCCAACUUCAAGAUAAGAUUUCCCACCGUAAGGGUAAGACCCCAGGAAGACUACCUGGUUGAUAGGUCGAAGGUGUAAGUGCAGUAAUGUAUUUAGCUUAUCGAUACUAAUAGGUCGAGGACUUGAUCAA
This 1372-nucleotide ribosomal RNA is filed under the name metagenome. RNAcentral's name for it is "bacterial LSU rRNA". It matches the Rfam family "Bacterial large subunit ribosomal RNA", at positions 1537 to 2925 of the family's 2925-position model. The record is from RNAcentral.